Molecule: ribosomal RNA, 482 nt
Filed under: uncultured bacterium
Lineage: Bacteria
Description: bacterial SSU rRNA
Rfam family: Bacterial small subunit ribosomal RNA
Source: RNAcentral
GACGAACGCUAGCGGCAGGCUUAAUACAUGCAAGUCGAACGGGAAUUGGGUAGCAAUACCUGAUGAUAGUGGCGCACGGGUGCGUAACGCGUAUGCAACCUACCUUUAACAGGGGGAUAGCCCGGAGAAAUUCGGAUUAAUACCCCAUAGUAUUAUGGAGAGGCAUCUUUUCAUGAUUAAAGUUCCGGCGGUUAAAGAUGGGCAUGCGUGCCAUUAGCUAGUUGGUGAGGUAACGGCUCACCAAGGCGACGAUGGUUAGGGGUCCUGAGAGGGUUAUCCCCCACACUGGUACUGAGACACGGACCAGACUCCUACGGGAGGCAGCAGUAAGGAAUAUUGGUCAAUGGGCGGAAGCCUGAACCAGCCAUGCCGCGUGCAGGAAGACGGCCUUAUGGGUUGUAAACUGCUUUUGUCAGGGAAUAAACCCUCGUUUGCGAACGAGGCUGAAGGUACCUGAAGAAUAAGCAUCGGCUAACUCCGUG